RNAcentral lists this ribosomal RNA (245 nucleotides) under uncultured bacterium. Its description in RNAcentral is "partial 16S ribosomal RNA". It matches the Rfam family "Bacterial small subunit ribosomal RNA", at positions 111 to 353 of the family's 1533-position model. The record is from RNAcentral.
UAACACUGGGUAACCUGCCUUAUAGUGGGGGAUAGCCUUUCGAAAGGAAGAUUAAUACCGCAUAAGAUUGUAGUAUCGCAUGAUAUAGCAAUUAAAGGAGCAAUUCGCUAUAAGAUGGACCCGCGUCGCAUUAGCUAGUUGGUGAGGUAAUGGCUCACCAAGGCGACGAUGCGUAGCCGACCUGAGAGGGUGAUCGGCCACAUUGGGACUGAGACACGGCCCAGACUCCUACGGGAGGCAGCAUG